Vicia faba (fava bean) is the source of this 213-nucleotide non-coding RNA. NCBI's taxonomy places the organism in Eukaryota, Viridiplantae, Streptophyta, Magnoliopsida, Fabales, Fabaceae. The record is from the annotation of a GenBank genome assembly.
AUGGGAGCUGAUUGGGGACCAGUAAUUGUUGCUGUUGCCUUGUUCAUUGUUUUGUCACCAGGCUUGCUCUUCCAGUUUCCAGCAAGGAGUAGAGUUGUUGAAUUUGGUAACAUGAGUACUAGUGGAAUUUCUAUUCUCAUUCAUGCUAUUAUAUAUUUUUGUAUACUUACUAUCUUAAUUGUUGCAAUUGGUAUUCAUGUACACUUUAACUGA